RNAcentral lists this transfer-messenger RNA (338 nucleotides) under Dehalococcoidia. Its description in RNAcentral is "20-14-all-45-10 sp002772325 Standard tmRNA". It matches the Rfam family "transfer-messenger RNA". From Rfam's summary of the family: Bacterial tmRNA, also known as 10Sa RNA or SsrA, is named for its dual tRNA and mRNA-like properties. Its role is to liberate the mRNA from a stalled ribosome. RNAcentral also lists the same sequence under 1 other name. Lineage: Bacteria; Bacillati; Chloroflexota. The record is from RNAcentral.
GGGGGCGCGUGGUUUCGACAGGGGAAGGCCUACAGAAUUGCAAGUUGAGGUGCCACUUACCUCAUAAAACAAGUGGCAAAAAACAACUGCCGAACCAGUUUACGCUUAAAGGUUCACAUCCAACCUGGCCUCUCCUCGAAGGUCAGGAUUGGGUGUUAAAAAAUCGAGGUGCUCCAAUCCUAAUGUCGAUAGGGAUUGGCUAAGAAAAAAUCGGCUGGUCUAGCUGGAUUCGGUCAGCAGAUGAAAGCUAGAUGAGAUAAAAGGAGCUGACUAAGCUUGUAGGAUAUUCUGGCAACCUUCUUCUGGACGGGGAGUUCAACUCUCCCCCGCCUCCACCA